UGACGAGUGGCGGACGGGUGAGUAAUGCUUGGGAACUUGCCUUUGCGAGGGGGAUAACAGUUGGAAACGACUGCUAAUACCGCAUAAUGUCUUCGGACCAAACGGGGCUUCGGCUCCGGCGCAAAGAGAGGCCCAAGUGAGAUUAGCUAGUUGGUAAGGUAACGGCUUACCAAGGCGACGAUCUCUAGCUGUUCUGAGAGGAAGAUCAGCCACACUGGGACUGAGACACGGCCCAGACUCCUACGGGAGGCAGCAGUGGGGAAUAUUGCACAAUGGGGGAAACCCUGAUGCAGCCAUGCCGCGUGUGUGAAGAAGGCCUUCGGGUUGUAAAGCACUUUCAGUUGUGAGGAAAAGUUAGUAGUUAAUACCUGCUAGCCGUGACGUUAACAACAGAAGAAGCACCGGCUAACUCCGUGCCAGCAGCCGCGGUAAUACGGAGGGUGCGAGCGUUAAUCGGAAUUACUGGGCGUAAAGCGCACGCAGGCGGUUUGUUAAGCUAGAUGUGAAAGCCCCGGGCUCAACCUGGGAUGGUCAUUUAGAACUGGCAGACUAGAGUCUUGGAGAGGGGAGUGGAAUUCCAGGUGUAGCGGUGAAAUGCGUAGAUAUCUGGAGGAACAUCAGUGGCGAAGGCGACUCCNCUGGCCAAAGACUGACGCUCAUGUGCGAAAGUGUGGGUAGCGAACAGGAUUAGAUACCCUGGUAGUCCACACCGUAAACGCUGUCUACUAGCUGUGUGUG
RNAcentral lists this ribosomal RNA (738 nucleotides) under Alteromonadales bacterium HOT2E4. RNAcentral's name for it is "bacterial SSU rRNA". It matches the Rfam family "Bacterial small subunit ribosomal RNA", at positions 89 to 828 of the family's 1533-position model. Lineage: Bacteria; Pseudomonadati; Pseudomonadota; Gammaproteobacteria; Alteromonadales. The record is from RNAcentral.